AAAUUAUUAAUGUCUAUCACUUUCUUCCCACUUGACAGAGCUUUACGACCCGAAAGCCUUCAUCACUCACGCGGCGUUGCUGCGUCAGGGUUUCCCCCAUUGCGCAAAAUUCCUC
RNAcentral lists this ribosomal RNA (115 nucleotides) under uncultured bacterium. Its description in RNAcentral is "partial 16S ribosomal RNA". The record is from RNAcentral.